Molecule: long non-coding RNA, 549 nt
Filed under: Homo sapiens (human)
Lineage: Eukaryota; Metazoa; Chordata; Mammalia; Primates; Hominidae
Source: RNAcentral
GUCAUGCAUUCUUGCCAAGCUGCCUACAGUGAACUGACUGCUGGAUACUCCCUCAGAAUCUGUCGUCCAGCCUUUGAGAAAAUCUCGUGGUCACGAAUUUGACCACCAAGCCAAAGCAAAGGAUGCAGCCCCUCGGAGCCCAGGCAGCUGUGUCCAGUGAGAGGUGCCUUUUCCAGGAUGCCAGGGAGCAGCUCCACUCCUCUACUCAUGGCUGUGCCAAGCUCAGUGGCAAUCACUUCGUCACAUCCAUUUGUGUCUUCACUUUGUGGUGUCAUUCCUUGGAAGGCUUGGCCUGUACGAGAGGAAUAUUUGACAACUGAGUUUUGACUCACUACUGCAAAAGGAUAAAUGCUCGAAAAUUGAUUUCCUGGGGAAAGAAACAUGACUAAGAGGAAACCUGAAAGUUUACGAACAAUAGCACCUUAACGGGAAAUGAGGCAUUUGGGGAAGCUGGCAUGAACCAAGAGUUAGGAUGAACCAUUGAGUUGGACCAGUUGAGGGAAAAGUAGUUUUUCCUUGAGCUAAAACUAGUAUUUUCCAACCUUAAAA